This 45-nucleotide non-coding RNA is filed under the name Schistosoma curassoni. Lineage: Eukaryota; Metazoa; Platyhelminthes; Trematoda; Strigeidida; Schistosomatidae. The record is from RNAcentral.
AUCCAUCUGAUGAGUUACAAAUAGAACGAAACGUGCGUCCUAGAU